GUAGGGAAUAUUGGACAAUGGGCGAAAGCCUGAUCCAGCAAUGCCGCGUGAGUGAUGAAGGCCUUAGGGUUGUAAAGCUCUUUUACCAGGGAUGAUAAUGACAGUACCUGGAGAAUAAGCUCCGGCUAACUCCGUGCCAGCAGCCGCGGUAAUACGGAGGGAGCUAGCGUUGUUCGGAAUUACUGGGCGUAAAGCGCGCGUAGGCGGCGAUUUAAGUCAGAGGUGAAAGCCCGGGGCUCAACCCCGGAAUAGCCUUUGAGACUGGAUUGCUAGAAUCCUGGAGAGGUGAGUGGAAUUCCGAGUGUAGAGGUGAAAUUCGUAGAUAUCCGGAGGAACACCGGUGGCGAAGGCGGCCACCUGGACAGGUACUGACGCUGAGGCGCGAAAGCGUGGGGAGCAAACAGGAUUAGAAACCCGGGUAGUCC
RNAcentral lists this ribosomal RNA (425 nucleotides) under uncultured bacterium. Its description in RNAcentral is "partial 16S ribosomal RNA". It matches the Rfam family "Bacterial small subunit ribosomal RNA", at positions 354 to 796 of the family's 1533-position model. The record is from RNAcentral.